GAAUAUAUAAGUGGCUCAUAUAUUUAAACAAUAAAAGAUGAUCUACCUGGUUAAAAAAUAGGGGGAAAAACCCUUAAACUGAUACUUCAUAAAGGAAAGUAUUCAAAUGGCCAAUAAAAAAGUGAAGACAUUUUUCAACAUUAUCAAUCAUUAAGUAUAUGAUAUUUAAACCAUAGUAAGAUAUCAAUAUGCACUCAUCUAAAAUUCUAAAAUAAAUACCAACAACCCCAUGGGAACAUUAAAUGACUGAUUCUCACAUGCAAUCAAGAAAUAGCCACUUGACUUUUAUGUAUUUACCCAAGAGAAACAAAAACAUAUGUACAUAGAAACAUUUAGAUGAAAAUGUUCAUAGAAAUGUCAUUAAUAACAGAAACUGGAAAAAACAAAAAUGUCUGUAGUUCUUGUACAACCCAAGAUAGUGUCAUGUAAAUGGUUCUAUGUAUAUAUGUUUUGGUUUCUCUUGGGUAAAUACUUAAAAGUCAAAUAGCUAUUUCUUGAUUACAUUUGAGAACCAGUCACUUAAUAUUCGCUUGUGGUGUGUGUGUGUGUGUGCAUGUGCAUGUAUGUGCAUGUGUAUAAAAUAUUUUACAUACACACACACACACACACACACACACACACACACACACAUAUACAUAUAAAAUUUAAGAAUGGCCCACAAGAUUAUGGAGACAAGUCCAAAAUCUACAGAGUUAAUGUCUUGGUUUUUCUCAAUUUCUUUAAUUAUAUAAAAUGCAGUAACCAAAAUAUGUAUUGCUUUCAAAGUUUUUAAGAAGUUAUGAGCUUUAUGGGAUCAGAAUAUCCUUGGCAUUUUCUGAAAAAAGGAACUAUACAAUUAUUUCAAAGAAAUUUUCUAAGUUUCAAAUGGAAGUCAUCCCCUGUGUUUAUCAUUCUUCUUUGGGCUUCACUAUUUGAGACCUGUGUAGAAGGAAUGAAGAUAACAUUUAUGGUCGUUAAUUUUAUGUAUCAACUUGCUUGGACCAUGGAGUUCCCAGAUAUUUGACCAAACAUUAUUCUGAAUGUUUCUGUGACAGAGUGUUUUCAGAUGAUAUUAAUAUUUACAACAAUAAACUAAAUAAAGCUUAUUGCCCAUCAUGAGGUGAGUAGGCCUCAUCUAAUUGGUUGAAGUCCUGAUUAAACAAAAGGCUGACCCUGCCCCAAGUAAGAGAGAAUUCUGCCUGAGAGCUGAGAACUGUAACAGAGCUCUUCCUGGUUCUGUAGCAGCUUGCCACCCUUCAGACUCAAACUGAGACAUGAGCUAUGUAGAUUUUGUAUUUGUCAGCAUCCAUAAUCAUGUGAGCCAUUUUAUUAUUAUAUAUGUAUAUAGGAAAUAUUUUACACACACACACCCCAAGGGAAUAUUAAGUAGCUGGUUCUCACAUGUAACCAAGAAAUAGAUAUUUAACUUUUAAGUAUUUACCCAAGAGAAGCAAAAACAUGUAUACACAGAACCAUUUAGAUGAAAAUGUUAAUACAGAUGUCAUUCAUAACAAAAAUAUAUAUAACAAAAAUAACUAUAUGCUUAUCCUAAUUUAUUUGACCCUGAAUAUUUGCAAGUUUAUACAAGUCAGGUAAUACAUAAUGUAAUUAUUAGUUGUUUCUGGACAAUGAUUCAACCCUUCAAUAAAGUUAGCAAGUAUGUGGUAAACUCUGAAUUCAGUAGCCUCAAAAUUGAUGGUGGAAUUCACAAAUUCAUUUUCAAAUUGUUUGCAGCCUACUUGGGUGAUAAUUGCAUUUUAAAACUGUUAUAUCUCAGGUAUAAAAUGUAAGUUUCUUUGUGGAAUGUAAUUUUGGCAACUUAUGUUCUUUGUAGUUAUCCUUGGAAAAAAUAAAAAUGGACUUGUAUUUAUUAUACGAGAAAAUCUUACCCCAAUAAUUAUAAAAUCUUACCAUAAUAGUUAUAAUCUUUCUUUUACCUAAAGCUGUAGAAUUCUUGGGUCUAGCUAUCCUUUAUAACUGUAUAUUCUUUGUAUAUUCAUACAUUAUCUAAACAGUGAUAGUUGAGUUAUUUUAAUCUGAAUGUUAUUCUAUAUAACAUAUUGCUCCUAAAUUUUACUGAAAUUAUAAAAACUAAUUUCUCAUACUUGAAGAUUCAUAAGGAAUGUUAAGAAAACGUUAUGAUUCUUCAAAAGAUAAGUCUCAGUAUACUAUUAUUGGUACCUAAAUACAUUACAAUAAGACUCUAAAUGGAACUAGGUUGUAUAAUAUUGUCUCACAAAUAAAUUUUGUAAAAGAAGACAUUUUCAAAUGUUCCAAUAUGUGCUCUCAGUUAAUUUAAAGGCCAAAGACUUUUGAAUUGAUAUAAUAAACUCUUAACAGAUAAAAAAUUAUAUGUCCUAAUAUCCAAAUGAUAUGUACCAGUUGUUGUUUUUAUUAACAGGCUAACUACAUGGGAAUAAUAGCAGGCCUCCAAUCCCGUGAUGGAACAGGCUGCCAGGAAGGUCUCUGAAAUGCCCUGGGUGCAUUGUCUAGUGAUUAAUAUCUGGCUCUUCUUUACUUAUGCAAAUUUCUGUAGCCUUGAUUUUCUCCCCAGAAAAUGAGGUGUUUUUUUUUUCUACCACAUAGUCAGGCUGCAAAUUUCCCAAACUUUAAUUCACUGCUUCCCUUUUAAGUUUAAGUUACAGUUCCUCAUCAUUUAUUUGUUUAUGCAAAUGCACAUGGACUUUUAGAAGCAACCAGGCCACAUCUUGAACUCUUCGCUGGUUGGAAAUUUCUUCCACCAGAAAACCUAAAUCAUCUCUCUAAAGUUCAAAGUUUCACAGAUCUCUAGAGCAGGGGCACAAUACCACCAGUCUCUUUGAUAAUGCAUAGCAAGAGUGACCUUUACUCCAGUUCCCAAUAAGUUCCCAUCUUCAUCUGAGAACAUCUCAGCCUGGACUUCACUGUUCACAUCACUAUCAGCAUUUCGAUCACAACUCUUCAACAAGUCUCUAGGAUGUUCCAAACAUUCCCACAUAUUCCUGUCUUAUUUUAAUUCCUUCAAGCUUUUCCAAUCUCUGCGCAUUACCCAGUUCCAAAGUCAUGUCCACAUUUCAGAUAUCUUUAUAGCAAUACCCCACUUCUCUAGUACCAAAUUCUGUAUCAGUCCAUUCUCACACUGCUAUAAAGAACUACAUAAGACUGAGAAAUUUAUGAAGAAAAGUGUUUUAAUUGACUCACAGUUUCACAGGCUGUAUAAAAAAGACUGUAUGGGAGGCCUCAGGAAACUUACAAUAAUGGCAGAAGGUGAAGAGGAAGCAGGCACAAACUUCACAUGGUGGAGCAGGAGAGAGAGAGAGAGCAAGGGGAGAAGUGCUAAGCACUUUUAAACAAGCAGAUCUCAUGAGAACUCACUCACUAUUAUAAGAACAGCAAGGGGAAAACUGUCCCCAUGACCCAAUCACCUCCCACCAGGGCCCUCCCCCAACAUUGAGGAUUACAAUUCAUCAUGAUAUUUGGGUGGGGACAUACAGCUAAACCAUAUCAAUGUGCUAACACAGUAAGACCUAUAAACAUCUCAGGAGACAAUACUGUAUCUCAUCAAGUAGCAGCUAUCAGGAUCCGAGGGAAUUUUGACACUAGACAGGCAUUUUUAUAGGACAAGGUCAUCUUAUUGACUAAUGUGGAGAGAUGGUCUACAUAAUCUGAUAGUACUCAGUUGUGUUGUGAAAAAAGGAAUGGGAGGGAGAAUGAGGAGAUAAGGAAGUUGGGGCAGAUUAAAAGAGCUAUUAAAAACAAACAGUUUCCUUUGUUUCAAUUUUGCCCUACUCAUGGACACAUCUCUGUAUCCCCAAUGUCUGUAGGAUUAUAUUUAAAGUCUUUUUUAAAAUUUCUUAUUAAAAUUAAACUGGAACAUUACUAGGAAAACUAAAUUUGAUACAAAUAUGUACUCUUAAGAUUUUCCAGUUUCAAUCAUAAAUUGCCUUUGAAAUAGCUGUUAUUUUGAAUAAUUCAUACCAAAGGUGAAACCAGACUGCAUGAGAAGGCAUAUCAUACAUUUUGUGAAUGUCCUACUUUUCAAGUGACAUCAAUUUGGAUACUUUUUAGGGCUGGACCAAUUACUUUGUAACGUCAGCUUAAUAAAAUGUAUGCACUUAACAUAAGCUCACUUAGUUUAAUGUGUUGCUUAUGUUGUCUAUAAAGUUCCAAAAAAAUCCAAAGAAUUGAAAAAGACAAUAAUUAUUUCGAUAGUUAACAUUAUAUGCCACUUAAAUGUUGAAUUGUCACUUUUUUGUUAUUUUCUGAUGAUUUUUAAAAGCGUAGUCCAUAAACAAAUUGCAUAUUUUGACUAUUAGACAAGUGAUUUUGUGAAUCUCUUUGCAUGCUUAGAGAAAUUCUGCUCACAUUUUGAUAAGUUAUGGCUCCUCAAAUCGUGGCUGUCAGAUGGCAACUAAGUAAUCUAAUACAAAAGGUAGGAGAAAUUAAUCACAAUAGUUUAACAUAGAAAGUAGAAUAAUAUAAUACACAAAUGGGCAGAAGUAAUUGAUUUGUGUUUAUUUUUAUCUACAGCCAUCCUAUUGUGGCUAUUGAUCACAGAAAAUUCAUAAAAUUAAUUAGCAUAAAAAUAAUUUACCUGAGAGCUUUUUAUUUUCUUUUCUUCUCCUGCCUAUCCAUGUUUCUACUCAUUUUUUCUUGGUUGGUUGGCUUCUGUGUAUGUUGAAUUAGAAAUAAAAAAAAUCAAGCUUUCUUUUCUUUAUAUCCACCUUUUUGAAAGUUUACAUAAAAUCCUUAAUAACAAUGCAACAAAACAAUAACAAGAACAACAAGAUGUAGGGUCAUUGGCUAAACAGAUGUUGAACUCUAGAUAUUGUGGACUAUAAUCAAAAGUAUUUAUCUACAAAAUCAUCUUCAACAUUUUAGUUGAAAUUUACAGAUCAUUGACUUCUUCAUUUUUUGUCAUUCCCUAGGAAAAGUAGUUUCAAAUAAAAAGCCACCUACUAGCCAAGCUGCAAUGUGUGAGAACUGCACUAGUUUACCUAUGACUGCAGGGUUUGAAUACACAUUUAAUAAACAUUUGCAUUCUACCUUGAGGUUUCUCAACAGAAUUACUUCUAAUUGGGAAAGAAACACAAAAGUGGAAGAAAUAAAGGAAAUGAAAAGUUUAAACAUAUUUUAACAGAACGUUUUGCUGAUAUAAAGUGUUCUGGCACUUAAGAUCAGUAAUAAUUGUUUAAUGGUGUAACCAGUGAAAUUAUUUGUGGCAAGUAACAAAUCCCUCAACUGCGAUUAUCAGCCAUAUUGUGAUGUACAAUAAUAAUAACAAAAUGAUUAUGGACCUUAUAUAUAAUUUAGGGGUCAGAGAAUAGGGG
RNAcentral lists this long non-coding RNA (5288 nucleotides) under Homo sapiens (human). RNAcentral's name for it is "HSALNT0090684". Lineage: Eukaryota; Metazoa; Chordata; Mammalia; Primates; Hominidae. The record is from RNAcentral.